RNAcentral lists this long non-coding RNA (2867 nucleotides) under Homo sapiens (human). Its description in RNAcentral is "HSALNT0306151". Lineage: Eukaryota; Metazoa; Chordata; Mammalia; Primates; Hominidae. The record is from RNAcentral.
CCGCCUCGGCCUCCAAAAGUGCUGGGAUUACAGGCGUGAGCCACCGUGCCCGACCCAGAAUCUGCAUUUUUUAACAAGAUUGCUAGGUAAUUUGGUUUGUGAGCACACUGAAGUUUGGGAAGUCGUGUGCCUCUUUUAGGGAAGCUAGUGCAGCAGAAGUGCUGGCCACAGGACCGGCAGGCAGAGGAGACUUCACAGUUCCUAUUGUCCACCACUUGACCCCCUCGAUGCCCUCAUUCAUUCGAAUCCCCCUUCGCCCUAGUACUUAAAAGUGUUUACUGUGCUUGGUGAAUGAGUCACACGGCACAGGUGCAUCUGCGUCGAUAGAGGGCAGUCUUUUUUUCUAGCAAUUAGUUGACGCCAUUAGGCUCUUCUGAUGGAGUCUCGGUUGCGAGAGGUGAGGCCUUUCGCUGGGCUGCAGGAUAGCGGCCCUUACCACUUGUGGUCAUUAAAGUUCCCGUGGUGCUUUUUGUGAGUGAAGGGAUUGUUAACCUCGGCGUCCUGGCUGACUUCCAAUCUGUGUAAUUACAUUCAGCCUACCUAAGUCUGCUCUGUAGUUUCAAUUAGGUAAAGUAUUGUUCACUUCUUAUACUAAACUGCUGUGUUGUGUGGCUACAGACUGCUAAUUAGCUAGUGUUUUUCAGGUAGCUGCAUUCAUGACGAACAAAACGCUCUCUCUGGUCAUCAUCUUCCCCGCCCCCACUCUCCCCAGUAUCCACAAUCCUACAUACAACUAACUGCAGGCCAAUUUUCUAUAUAUUACCAUUUCUUGGAAAAAAAAGUGCUUUGGGAUCAGAAAUUUCUCGUACAUGACAAUGAACAUUUCUUUUGAUUCUCUAUGUAGCCACCUGCUUCUAACCUUAUCUAACUUAUUAUAGGGUGUAUGUGUGGGAAACCCAUGCAGAGAAUAAAAAGAAUGUGACAACAGGUGGAAGAAAUAGGCCUUCCUCUGCCAAGAUGAAGGGUACAUUUCUGUGAUUGCCAGGGAAGUAUGAAUUGCUUUAAGAGCUUGCCACUCCAGGAAUUGGUUAUUUUAAAUGUGAUAUGAAAGGAAGAUGAGGUCAGAGAGGGCAGGGCGUACAUUUAUUUCUUUUUUCCCACUAGUUAGAAAAAUAUAGUAGGACAUGUAAACUAGCAGUAAAAUGCCUCAAUAUCUCUGUGGGGAAUAUCUGGCCCUAAAUAGGAAAUGUGGCACCAGGAGAGAGAAUGGAAUUCCCUUCUGUUGACUUAAAAGUUAGCACCAGGGGAAGUACGUGGCUCUGGAAUGGCAGUUGGAAAUGAAAGAAAAGUGGAAAAGAUGGGUGAGCAGGAAGCCAAGAGGGCAGAGUUGCAAGGGCAGAGUUGUGCUGUUAUCAAAGAAGAGAUGUGUUUGAGAAUGGAAUCUUUCUGAGAUGUGAAAUGAUUGCUAUGAAGUGUCCAGAUGGAAAAAAAUUCUGAUUUAGAUAACAUAUCACUUUACAUGCCUUUUCACUAUGUAAGCAAAUUUAAUCUGUUUUAAUGCCCAACAACAUAUACACAGAUUAAUUAGACAAAAGUUCAUUUGGAGUGAUUUCUUUAUCUUUUCGUAUCACAAACUCUAUGGGAGGUAAAUGAAAAUCAAUAAAUGAAGUAAAGAAAUGAAUGUACAAAAUUGAUAUAGGGAAGACUAUGAAGAGGCGUCUAUUGACCAUCAGUUCAUGGAGAGCAGGAAAAGAGGUGUUUUCAGUGCCAGAGAACCAACCUAUGUCUUGCCCACCCCUUACAGCGGUUCUGUCCCAACGUGUUCUACUUGUUGUCUCUUUGAAAUGAGAAAGAAGAGAAGGGGUUUACUUAGUCCAAUGGAAGGACUGACUUAAUGCCUGUUAAAAAUAGGCUGGUUUACAAAUUCCUGUUAGAAGUGGAAGGAUAUAGAGCCAGAAAAUGGGGAUUAAGAAUGAGAUUGAGGGAUGUGAACACUCCCAGACAUGGGAAGGGAAGCUUCCAGAUCCUAGAGCUUUAUUGCUUUCCUGGUAAAAGUGUCUUCAUUUCCAGCUCAGCAUCUACCACACAGUAAAAGGUCAUUAAUUAGGAGAAGAUUUAUCUCAAGGAAACGUAUGAUCUGUGGGUAGUGUGGUCAAAGAUGACUUCUGCAGAUAAAAACAUCAUCUUGUAUGCAAGAGAUACGACCCUCUUUUAUAUAGUUGAACUGCAAAGACUACCUUACUGUUCACUCCCAGAAUGGCAAAAAGAUAGAUGAAGAUGGAGAAAUGUGCACCUAACACUGCAUCUUUAUGAGCAAAGGAUUUUCUUUGGAAAAACUGUGAUUAUAUGAAAAUCAUAGGACAUUUUAUUUGUGACUACAGGGCGUGGUGAAAACCUCUGCUACCAUACUGGAUACAAGGUCUUUAACUUCUCAGCACCAGUUUUAUGGAGCCCCCACCGCUAAGCAAGUAUGCAAAAUGCAGUGCUGCUUCGCAUUGGGAAAUCCCCAAUCUGGUGCCAAGAGGUUCAUAAAUACAGUAAUGGACCCUCUUAUGUCAAAAGUGAGUACUGUUUAACAGCGUAAGUUGGAACAGCCUUCAGGAUGCUUUGCAGCUGCAGUUGUUCCACUGCAAGACAUCACAAACUUCAUGAUGAUGGUUGUCACACCAGGUCCUGGAAAGGCAACCUACUUCAGUCUGCAAAGUGAACUAAAAGGGAAUGGUUGUUCAUACAUGGCCCUGAUGCCACUGACAUAAGAAACGCAAUGACAAGAGCGAUGAAGUAGGAAUUUGGUGGCAGAUGGUCAGGUCUGCAGGAAGUGUCCACCCAGCUUUGUUUGGCCCAUAUUCUGAAACAACUAGAAUAAACACUUAGUGUCAUAAUUUAUAAGCAUAUCAGUACCAAUAAAUCAGAAUCAUGCAAACAGU